Molecule: small nucleolar RNA, 133 nt
Organism: Loxodonta africana (African savanna elephant)
Lineage: Eukaryota; Metazoa; Chordata; Mammalia; Proboscidea; Elephantidae
Gene: SNORA70
Rfam family: Small nucleolar RNA SNORA70
About the family: snoRNA U70 seems to be exclusive to mammals and is a member of the H/ACA class of snoRNA which contain H (ANANNA) and ACA box motifs.
Source: Ensembl
CUGCAGCCAAUUAAGCCAACUCCCUUCCUUCCCUGUGAGGUCAACAGUGCAGUGGCUGCAAACAGCAGCCUGCUUGGUAGUGUAUGCAACCUGUUGCAUGCAUGCAUUGCCCUAAGGAACCUUGGAGACAGCC